CUACGGGGGGCACCAGUGAGGAAUAUUGCACAAUGGGGGGAACCCUGAUGCAGCAACGCCGCGUGGAGGAUGACGCAUUUCGGUGUGUAAACUCCUUUUAUAUGUCAAGAAAAUGACGGUAGCAUAUGAAUAAGCACCGGCUAACUCCGUGCCAGCAGCCGCGGUAAUACGGAGGGUGCAGGCGUUACUCGGAAUCACUGGGCGUAAAGGACGCGUAGGCGGGCUGGAAAGUCAGGUGUGAAAUCCUACAGCUUAACUGUAGAACUGCACUUGAAACUUCUAAUCUAGAGUAUGGGAGGGGGAGAUGGAAUUAGUGGUGUAGGGGUAAAAUCCGUAGAUAUCACUAGGAAUACCUAAAGCGAAGGCGAUCUCCUGGAACAUUACUGACGCUAAGGCGUGAAAGCGUGGGGAGCAAACAGGAUUAGAUACCCCUGUAGUC
Molecule: ribosomal RNA, 439 nt
Filed under: uncultured bacterium
Lineage: Bacteria
Description: partial 16S ribosomal RNA
Rfam family: Bacterial small subunit ribosomal RNA
Source: RNAcentral